UACGGGGGGAGCAAGCGUUGUUCGGAUUUACUGGGCGUAAAGGGCGCGUAGGGGCCACCGCAAGUCGGUUGUGAAAUCUCCGGGCUUAACCCGGAAAGGUCAACCGAUACUGCGGGGCUAGAGUGCAGAAGGGGCAACUGGAAUUCUCGGUGUAGCGGUGAAAUUCGUAGAUAUCGAGAGGAACACCUGCGGCGAAGGCGGGUUGCUGGGCCGACACUGACGCUGAUGCGCGAAAGCCAGGGGAGCGAACGGG
Molecule: ribosomal RNA, 253 nt
Filed under: uncultured bacterium
Lineage: Bacteria
Description: partial 16S ribosomal RNA
Rfam family: Bacterial small subunit ribosomal RNA
Source: RNAcentral